This is a long non-coding RNA of Ornithodoros turicata, 1222 nucleotides long. RefSeq lists it as uncharacterized. The record is from RefSeq and is a predicted model, not a curated record. The transcript has 2 exons. Lineage: Eukaryota; Metazoa; Arthropoda; Arachnida; Ixodida; Argasidae.
CAUGCUGCCCUAUUCAAAUGCAUGGAAGCCGAUGUUUUCGCGCUCUGUUUAUUUUUUAUGCUGGGUAUGGCUUCCAGAAUUUUUUUUUAGCUUUCGGACGCAUAAAUACGACCAUUGUACGCCACCGGAAGUUCCUCGGGGGGCCGGGUUGCUGUGGUGGGCGGAGCGUGACCGGAGGGCUGCGCGCUUACCAUUCAUCCUGGGCUGACUUCUUCACCACUUUCCUACUUGGGCCGACAUCCUUCCCGCGAGCGUAUUUCGAAACCCUGACCGAUACAGAAGAGCGGCGGCGGCGGCAGCAGAAAACCCCGGAAACCCGAUGCGUUUGCUGUACGGACGCCGACGCCGACGGUGGCUUUUUGUAAAUUGUACGCAUCGCCCACAGGGCAGGGCGGAGGGUGGUGAAAUGUACUGGAGAACAAGGUUAGGUUGGAACACGCACGUAAUUUUGAAGUUCUUUACUAUGUGUUUGGAUUACAAGCAAGGGUGGGUCGAAUUUGACUACCCCUUGGUCUGUAGAUGAGACGGAACGUUACGAAGUUAUAGUUGAAACCAGACAGAUAUUCGGAGAAUGUGUUACGCCAUAUAAAGCAAGAGGGCAACAACUGUUAAUUUGAACGUUCGGAAACUGUCACACAAGGAGCAGUAUGUCCUGUCGCACUGUUAAUGUCAAUGUCAUUCUUUCCCUGUCUGAUUUAGUAUGUGCCUCGACCCACAUUCGAAGCACAUCAAAACAGUCUCUUGCGUCAAAACAGUUGUCAUUUAGGAGCCUCCACUGAUAAUUCAUAUGCUGUGAGUAAACAGCGUGCGUAGAAUUGAUCCACUGUACUGAACUGUCAAUACGAUGUGUCAUGCUAUGUGUUGCUUUAGAGUGUGUAAUGCUAAGGCUGAGACAUACACUGAAGGCAGGAACCCAAACAGGCUAUCUGUAUUUCAAUGCAAAAGUGAAGACCUUGUUGUACUUAUUAUAUCUCCAUACAGAUAAUAAGUACUUACAAAUGUCAGCACACACUAGUAGACAGGUCCCAAUAGUAUUAUACUCUAGGGAAUUUUUGUAAAUUUUGUUAUAUUUUGCAACAUCAACAACCGCAACAAACUUGCAGGCGAGUCAAUCGAACGACAGAUGUGGCGUGACUUGUAUUGAAGGAAAAUGAUAUUGUGUCAAAUAAAGAAUAAUGUAAUGAUUGGAUAUUUGUAAUAAAGACACAGAAAUUGUAAUCGA